UACGAGGGCUCCAAGCGUUAUCCGGAUUUAUUGGGCGUAAAGGGUCUGUAGGCGGUUUUUCGCAUCUCCUGUUAAAGCCCGAGGCUUAACCUCGGAACAGCGGGAGAGAUGGAUAAACUAGAGACUGGGAGAGGCAAGCGGAAUUGCUGGUGUAGGGGUUAAAUCCGUUAAUAUCAGCAGGAACACCGGAUGCGAAAGCAGCUUGCUGGAACAGUUCUGACGCUAAAAGACGAAAGCGUGGGUAG
This 245-nucleotide ribosomal RNA is filed under the name uncultured bacterium. Its description in RNAcentral is "partial 16S ribosomal RNA". It matches the Rfam family "Bacterial small subunit ribosomal RNA", at positions 524 to 768 of the family's 1533-position model. The record is from RNAcentral.